UACAGAGGUCCCAAGCGUUGUUCGGAUUCACUGGGCGUAAAGGGUGCGUAGGUGGUGGGGUAAGUCGGAUGUGAAAGCUCGGAGCUCAACUCCGAAAUGGCAUUGGAAACUACCCUGCUAGAGGAUUGGAGGGGGGACUGGAAUACUUGGUGUAGCAGUGAAAUGCGUAGAUAUCAAGUGGAACACCAGUGGCGAAGGCGAGUCCCUGGACAAUACCUGACACUGAGGCACGAAAGCUAGGGGAGCGAACAGG
Molecule: ribosomal RNA, 253 nt
Filed under: uncultured bacterium
Lineage: Bacteria
Description: partial 16S ribosomal RNA
Rfam family: Bacterial small subunit ribosomal RNA
Source: RNAcentral